RNAcentral lists this ribosomal RNA (515 nucleotides) under uncultured bacterium. Its description in RNAcentral is "partial 16S ribosomal RNA". It matches the Rfam family "Bacterial small subunit ribosomal RNA", at positions 28 to 523 of the family's 1533-position model. The record is from RNAcentral.
GAUGAACGCUGGCGGCGUGCCUAAUACAUGCAAGUCGAGCGAAUGGAUUAAGAGCUUGCUCUUAUGAAGUUAGCGGCGGACGGGUGAGUAACACGUGGGUAACCUGCCCAUAAGACUGGGAUAACUCCGGGAAACCGGGGCUAAUACCGGAUAACAUUUUGAACCGCAUGGUUCGAAAUUGAAAGGCGGCUUCGGCUGUCACUUAUGGAUGGACUCGCGUCGCAUUAGCUAGUUGGUGAGGUAACGGCUCACCAAUGCAACGAUGCGUAGCCGACCUGAGAGGGUGAUCGGCCACACUGGGACUGAGACACGGCCCAGACUCCUACGGGAGGCAGCAGUAGGGAAUCUUCCGCAAUGGACGAAAGUCUGACGGAGCAACGCCGCGUGAGUGAUGAAGGCUUUCGGGUCGUAAAACUCUGUUGUUAGGGAAGAACAAGUGCUAGUUGAAUAAGCUGGCACCUUGACGGUACCUAACCAGAAAGCCACGGCUAACUACGUGCCAGCCGCCGCUGUAA